GACGAACGCUGGCGGCGUGCUUAACACAUGCAAGUCGAACGGAAAGGCCCUGCUUGCAGGGUACUCGAGUGGCGCACGGGUGAGUAACACGUGGGUGAUCUGCCCUGCACUUCGGGAUAAGCCUGGGAAACUGGGUCUAAUACCGGAUAGGAGCCAUUCUUAGUGUGAUGGGUGGAAAGUUUUUUCGGUGUAGGAUGAGCUCGCGGCCUAUCAGCUUGUUGGUGGGGUAAUGGCCUACCAAGGCGGCGACGGGUAGCCGGCCUGAGAGGGUGGACGGCCACAUUGGGACUGAGAUACGGCCCAGACUCCUACGGGGGGCAGCGGUGGGGAAUAUUGCACAAUGGGCGCAAGCCUGAUGCAGCGACGCCGCGUGGGGGAUGACGGCCUUCGGGUUGUAAACUCCUUUCGCUAGGGACGAAGCUUUUUGUGACGGUACCUAGAUAAGAAGCACCGGCUAACUACGUG
This 465-nucleotide ribosomal RNA is filed under the name uncultured bacterium. RNAcentral's name for it is "partial 16S ribosomal RNA". It matches the Rfam family "Bacterial small subunit ribosomal RNA", at positions 28 to 507 of the family's 1533-position model. The record is from RNAcentral.